UAAAAUCUAAAGAGAAGACAGAGCAGAAGCAGCGUUACCCAAGGAGACGCGCUGCGCUGCAGAAGGCAUCCGAUUCAGCGGGAGCACAAGCAAGCCUGGACUCACCAAGUGGCAGUGAUCUUCUGUGUAUUCCACAUCUGAACGCCACGGAAAGAGGGAGAGACACAGGGCAUUAGAAAAAACAACCACGGGCUAAGUGGCCUUCCCAUAAGAUGCCCCACUUGUGUUAUAAACAGAAUAGGUUCCUUGAGCCCUCCCACCGGAGCUUUUCAUAGCGACAUUCCGCACCCCGCCCCCCGCCUCGCCCCCCUGCGUCUUAAGACCUUAGGAACAGCGUGAAGAUAGGAUGGGCCAGGGACUGGAGCUGUCCCUGGAAGUGCUGCAGCAGAGGCUGAACCAUCACUUGGGGGUGGGGUGGGAGAGGUUCAAUUCUCAUUCAUUGAACAAAUAGAGCUGGAGCUCCUACUGUGUGCCAGGGGCUACUAGGCAGACAACAAUGAGGAAGACCUAGCUCUCACCUAAAGGAAUUCACGUCCUAGCCACUGAGAGACUCCUCCUAAUCACACAGUUAGCACAGCCCUAAUCAGUGAGGUUCUCUGAGGAGGGAUGUUGGAGCUGGACCUAAAUGAACGGAUAGGGAGCAGGACCAAAUGGGGAGGAGGGUGGGUGCAAAUGCCCUGAGGUGGAAAGGAAGGUGACCUAGGAUCGGAGAGAAGGGCAGCAAGGCGGAGGUCAAGAGUGAGUGAUGGAGCAGCACAAAGUGGACAGUCUGAGAAGAAAUGUGGCUGAAAAGGAAGUGGCAAAUGCAGGGAGAGGAGGAAGCAAGGCAGUUGGGUUUUGUUUUGAAGACGAGAGAGACUAGAACACCUUAAAAUGCUGGUGGAAAACUAUAGUAGUGGGGAUGCGAAGCCCAGGUGGGAAACGGGAUGUGGCUGGGAGGAGGGCAGCCCUGGCAUGUCUGGGGAGCCAGGAGGAGGGACUGCAGAGGCAGGGAGGGAGGCAGGGUGGGCUGGCGCUGGCUAUUGAAGGCAUUCUGAUCUCUUUUCUCUGUGAGGUACUGAGUGAAGUCAUCUGCUGACAGGGAAGCCUGUGGGGAUCAGAGGAGAGAACGUGGGAUCACGGAGAACAGUCAGCUGUCUGGAGAAGCACAAAGGGGAACAGGCAUAAAGACACCAACCCCCACCCUAGACCAGAAGGACAGCCGCCCACUGCAAGAUGGCUUCUCUCAAUAUAGCUUGACUUGGGAGUAGAUGGGGGCUUGGGAGGUGGGGAUGUCCUGCAACCUACCAAGGGGUGUCCUCCAACCUUCCCAGUCAUCCUAUCCAUGUUGUUGGGAGCCCUGCAUUCCUCGUUUGCACUCCCCAGGUGUUGGAUCCUAUCAGGCUGCUCCUACCACUGAAUCCAGGAAUAGGGAAGCCCCACCUCCAGCUGUGCGUGUGUGAACAGGCCCUGUUGGUGAGGCCCAGAACCUUUCUGAGGGCCGAGGAGGACUGACUGACUUGGCCUGGAUAUAAUUUCUCUAGAGAGAAGCCUGGAAUAGACCUCAGGAUUUUCUCAAGGCACUGUUACAGUGUUUUCCUGCCCCUAGGCUAUCAGGGACAUAGAAGAGUUUAGAGACUGGCCGAUUAACUUUGCCCACAAAGCUCCCUCUGUCCUUGGUCCAUCAGUAGGAGCUUUGGACUAAGUGAAUUAUCUUGUUUGUUCAGAGCUUGCAGGGCUGUGUGCUAAUCUGCAGGCUUCCCUCAGUUUGCCAGGAGGAUCCCCUCUGUCAGCCCCCAUACUGCUGAGGAGUUGGGAAAGAGCUGCAAUGGCUAAGAUUCUGCCCCAUCUUUAGGGGUGGUUAAUGGUACCAGCUUCCUCAGUGCCGGGCAGUCACGGCAACCACUGUUCACAGUUUCCUGUCCCCCUUUGCAGAGCGUGCAUUCUUAGGACCAGAAACAGAUCAAAAUGGCUUUCCUCCAAUCAGAGAAUUACUUAGCAACAACUCAGUCUCAUCUUUGUGACAGUACAUCUGAGAGGCAAAAAGCAAUACUUUAUAGACUGAGAACAAAAGGUUAACAUUACGUUGGUUACCUGAAGUGAAAUUUGCUAUCUUCUUAAAGACUUUUAUAGUGGAUCCAUUUGAUAUCUGAAAGCAAAGAUAAAAAAUAGAUGAGUUUUCAAAAUUUAAUGUGUUUCUCAACUUCACUCAGGAAUUAGAUGGCUGGAUGGAUCUUACAUUCUCUCACUUAUUCAAUCAAAUAUUUAUUUAAGAAUUCCUACGUUCUGAGCAUUGCAGGCUGGAGCUAUAGUGAUGAGCAAGACACUGUUUCUGCCCUCAAGGAGCUUGUGGUUUUGUGAAGGAGGCAGGCAAGGGGAGGAGUCAGCUGUUUUGGGGGGCACCCCAGCCUCUUGGGAGUAGGUACUGUUUAGACCACUUUCUUUUUUGAAGGGCGGGGGGGGAGGGGGGAGGGGGGAGUCCUACCAUAUAAAGAAAUGCUGAAACAAGUUUUCAAAAACUGGCCUGUAAAGCUGGUGGCUAGCCUAUGACAGAGCAAUGUCACAUUUAGGUAUACACAUGUGCGUAUCCUGGAGGUAAGCUUUGUAAGUGCCCCGUACUGGCAUUUACAACCCCAAUAUCCAUCAACAGCAGAAGGAAUAAAGAGUUUGAGGUAUACUCAUAAAACAGGUUAUGAUAAGACAACCACAGUGAGCAAAUUACUGCUCCGUGCCACACGGACGAACCUCACAGUGACACUGGCGAACCAAAAUCCAGAUAAAACGGAACGCACGCCGUGUGGUUCCAUUCACAUUUAGCUUAAAAAAAAAUAGAAAAACAAAAACCCAGUCAAAACCAUGAUUUAAAUGUUUGGAGAGGAGAAAGUGCUGAUUAGGAGAGUCCAUAGGGGCCGUCUGUGGUGCCCAUAAGGCUCUAUUUCUUGAUCUGAGUGGGAGCUGUAAGAUAGGCUCACUUUGUGAUAAUCCGUCCAGCAGGACACUUAUAACGUAUUCUCUUUUUUUGAAGGUCUUUAUCUUUUUAAAAGAAGCUUGUAAGAAUCGUAAAAUUGCAUACACUUUUAAAUAAAAACUUGAAACAUGA
Long non-coding RNA from Bubalus bubalis (water buffalo), 3079 nucleotides. RefSeq lists it as uncharacterized. The record is from RefSeq and is a predicted model, not a curated record. The transcript is spliced from 2 exons. NCBI's taxonomy places the organism in Eukaryota, Metazoa, Chordata, Mammalia, Artiodactyla, Bovidae.